AACGAACGCUGGCGGCAUGCCUAACACAUGCAAGUCGAACGAGACCUUCGGGUCUAGUGGCGCACGGGUGCGUAACGCGUGGGAACCUGCCCUUAGGUUCGGAAUAACUCCCCGAAAGGGGUGCUAAUGCCGGAUAAUGUCUUCGGACCAAAGAUUUAUCGCCUUUGGAUGGGCCCGCGUUGGAUUAGCUAGUUGGUAGGGUAAAAGCCUACCAAGGCGACGAUCCAUAGCUGGUCUGAGAGGAUGAUCAGCCACACUGGGACUGAGACACGGCCCAGACUCCUACGGGAGGCAGCAGUGGGGAAUAUUGGACAAUGGGCGAAAGCCUGAUCCAGCAAUGCCGCGUGAGUGAUGAAGGCCUUAGGGUUGUAAAGCUCUUUUACCCGGGAUGAUAAUGACAGUACCGGGAGAAUAAGCUCCGGCUACCUCCGU
This 432-nucleotide ribosomal RNA is filed under the name uncultured bacterium. Its description in RNAcentral is "partial 16S ribosomal RNA". It matches the Rfam family "Bacterial small subunit ribosomal RNA", at positions 29 to 506 of the family's 1533-position model. The record is from RNAcentral.